This 64-nucleotide transfer RNA is filed under the name Hordeum vulgare. Its description in RNAcentral is "tRNA-OTHER". It matches the Rfam family "tRNA". From Rfam's summary of the family: Transfer RNA (tRNA) molecules are approximately 80 nucleotides in length. The record is from RNAcentral. Lineage: Eukaryota; Viridiplantae; Streptophyta; Magnoliopsida; Poales; Poaceae.
GCAUCAGUGGUCUAGUGGUAGAAUAGAUACCGUACAGACCCGGGUUCGAUACCCGGCUGGUGCA